Callithrix jacchus (white-tufted-ear marmoset) is the source of this 2464-nucleotide non-coding RNA. The record is from RefSeq and is a predicted model, not a curated record. NCBI's taxonomy places the organism in Eukaryota, Metazoa, Chordata, Mammalia, Primates, Cebidae.
CUGAUUAAUCUUCAAACUGUUUUGUGGUUGGUACUAUUCUUAGAGGUGUAAGCAUUUUGUUUCCUAUAUAGUGUAAGAUCAAAAAAGAAAAAAUAUCUCUCUGGUAAUUGUUAUAUUUUCUCAGAACACAUGUCUAAUUCAUAAUGUUAUAAGGUUAGUCUUGCCAAACCUAUAGCAUCUUUUCUAAAAAUAAAAUGUAAGAUUAUCAUUUUAAUAUCAGUCAGCAAGUGGCUAUGAUGGUUGCUAAGGCCCUUAUAAAUUUAGCAAAUUAAAUAAACUGGGGUCACACAACUGUAGCAUUUAUAUAGCAAGAGUAUUUACUAAUCUUGUCACUGCUAAUGUAUAGCAAGAGUAUUUACUAAUCUUGUCACUGCUAAUACGUGCUCUUUGGAAGAUAGACAGGGGACAUUUGUCCUUCUGGGGAAACCUUUCUAUACACGUUGCCCAGGAUGUUAAGCCCUUGUAAGAGCAAAAUGGCCAAAGGCAACUGUAGAGUUACCCUUACUAAUGGUGGAAAAAGCCUCCUGACAUGAAUGGCCUCAACACCUUCUCCUGCACACGUGUCAGGAACAAAUCAUUCAUGAUUAGCUUCCCAGAGAACCCUAUACCAUUACUCUAGCCCUUUCUUGUUUCAGGAGACUAAUAGAGGCUAUAUGGUAAUUCUUGCAAUAUGUAAGCAGCCUCCUUUAAGUGAUUCAGGCUUCUAAGUUCAUGUGCCGUGGGCUGCCAGGAAGGAGACACCUUCCUGAGCCCUGGAUCUUUCUUCCUUCUGGAAGUCUUUUGCUGUGGGUAUUUGUUUUUGAAUAAAAGCGUCCACACAUCAUGGACCUCAUGGGACUGCUGAAGUCUCAGUUCCUGUGCCACCUGGUCUUCUGCUACGUCUUCAUCGCCUCGGGGCUGAUCAUCAACACCAUGCAGCUCUUCACUCUCCUUUGGCCAAUUAACAAGCAGCUCUUCAGGAAGAUCAACUGCAGACUGUCCUAUUGCAUCUCAAGCCAGCUGGUGAUGCUGCUGGAGUGGUGGUCGGACAUGGAAUGCACCAUCUUCAUGGACCCGCGAGCCUACCCCAAGUAUGGGAAGGAAAAUGCCAUCGUGAUUCUCAACCACAAGUUUGAAAUUGACUUUCUCUGUGGCUGGAGCCUGUCCCAACGCUUUGGGCUCUUAGGGGGUCCAAGGUCCUGGCCAAGAAAGAGCUGGCCUACGUCCCGAUCAUCGGCUGGAUGUGGUACUUCACCAAGAUGGUCUUCUGCACGCGCAAGUGGGAGCAGGAUCGCAAGACAGUUGCCACCAGCCUACAGCACCUCCGGGACUACCCCGAGAAAUAUUUUUUCCUGAUCCACUGUGAGGGCACACGGUUCACAGAGAAGCAGCACGAGAUCAGCAUGCAGGUGGCCCGGGCCAAGGGGCUGCCUAGCCUCAAGCACCACCGGUUGCCGUGAACCAAGGGCUUCGCCAUCACUGUGAGGAGCUUGAGAAAUGUAGUUUCAGCUGUAUAUGACUGUACACUCAAUUUCAGAAAUAAUGAAAAUCCAACACUGCUGGGAGUCCUAAACGGAAAGAAAUAUCAUGCAGAUUUGUAUGUUAGGAGGAUUCCACUGGAAGACAUCCCUGAAGACGAUGCCAAGUGCUCGGCCUGGCUGCACAAACUCUACCAGGAGAAGGAUGCAUUUCAGGAGGAGUACUACAGGAUGGGCACCUUCCCGGAGACGCCUAUGGUGCCCCCCAGGCGGCCCUGGACCCUAGUGAACUGGCUGUUUUGGGCCUUAUUGGUGUUCUACCCUUUCUUCCAGUUCUUGGUCAGCAGUAUCACUUGUUGGUUUUUAAAUUCCUCUUGCUGUACUAAAAACAAAUACUAAUAACAAAAAUAACCCUUUAUUGAAAAGGGAAAGUGUGCCUCUUCACAAUUCUUUUUUUCUUCCUUUCUUUUUUAAAUACAUGGUUGCAUCAUGUUCUCCAGUACUUUCUGGUUAACCUAAUACCUAGUCUGGGAUUAGGUUGGUGCAACAAUAAUUGCGGUUUCACCAUUGAUUUUAAUGUCUGUGGACUAGACCAGGGUAUAUUAUGUUCUGGCACAUCAUGUAUAAGGUUAAAUUGGCUUUUGUCCAUGCAGGUUAGAGAACUCCUGCCUUGUACACUGGAGGCAAAUAAUACUUGUUUAUUUGCCAUUUUCAGUUUACAGGUAUCUAGAACAAACCAUCGUGUAUCUUACAAGUCCCAUGUCAAUGUAAUUCUUAUGUAUAGUCAUUGCUUUAGACAAAGCUUGAUUUUAAUUCAUUGAUUUAUAGUACUGUAAACAAUCUGUAAAUAUGAUUUGAGAUGUCAGAUAGAUAUGCAUAUAUCUUAUCUGAGUAUAGAAUUUUUAAAUCACUACUAUGUCUUAAAAUAUUUUGAGUUAUUUUAUGGCUUAAUAAUAGAACUCAAAAAAAAAAAUGCACCAUGAAGUAACCUGCUAACUGUGUUUCUU